AGUAGUUUGAUCAUGGACUCAGAGUAGACGCUGGCGGCAGGCCUAAUACAUGCAAGUCGAACGGCAGCACAGCAGAGCUUGCUCUGUGGGUGGCGAGCGGCGGACGGGUGAGGAAUACAUGGGAAUCUGCCCAGUCGUGGGGAUAACGUAGGGAAACUUUACGCUAAUACCGCAUGCGCCCUUCGGGGGAAAGCCGGGGACCGUAAGGCCUGGCGCGAUUGGAUGAGCCCAUGUCGGAUUAGCUAGUUGGCGGGGUAAAGGCCCACCAAGGCGACGAUCCGUAGCUGGUCUGAGGGGAUGAUCAGCCACACUGGAACUGAGACACGGUCCAGACUCCUACGGGAGGCAGCAGUAGGGAAUAUUGGACAAUGGGCGCAAGCCUGAUCCAGCCAUGCCGCGUGAGUGAAGAAGGCCCUCGGGUUGUAAAGCUCUUUUGUCCGGAAAGAAAAGCGCCGGGUUAAUACCCUGGUGUCCUGACGGUACCGGAAGAAUAAGCACCGGCUAACUUCGUG
Molecule: ribosomal RNA, 512 nt
Filed under: uncultured bacterium
Lineage: Bacteria
Description: bacterial SSU rRNA
Rfam family: Bacterial small subunit ribosomal RNA
Source: RNAcentral